Molecule: ribosomal RNA, 201 nt
Filed under: Clostridioides difficile
Lineage: Bacteria; Bacillati; Bacillota; Clostridia; Peptostreptococcales; Peptostreptococcaceae
Description: partial 16S ribosomal RNA
Rfam family: Bacterial small subunit ribosomal RNA
Source: RNAcentral
UUUUAUUUGAGAGUUUGAUCCUGGCUCAGGAUGAACGCUGGCGGCGUGCCUAACACAUGCAAGUUGAGCGAUUUACUUCGGUAAAGAGCGGCGGACGGGUGAGUAACGCGUGGGUAACCUACCCUGUACACACGGAUAACAUACCGAAAGGUAUGCUAAUACGGGAUAAUAUAUUUGAGAGGCAUCUCUUAAAUAUCAAAG